RNAcentral lists this ribosomal RNA (253 nucleotides) under uncultured bacterium. Its description in RNAcentral is "partial 16S ribosomal RNA". It matches the Rfam family "Bacterial small subunit ribosomal RNA", at positions 524 to 776 of the family's 1533-position model. The record is from RNAcentral.
UACGGAGGAUCCAGGCGUUAUCCGGAUUUAUUAGGUUUAAAGGGUGCGUAGGCGGAAGAUUAAGUCAGUGGUGAAAUCCUGCAGCUCAACUGUAGAACUGCCAUUGAUACUGAUUUUCUUGAGUAUAGUUGAGGUGGGCGGAAUGUGUCAUGUAGCGGUGAAAUGCUUAGAUAUGACACAGAACACCGAUUGCGUAGGCAGCUCACUAAACUAUCACUGACGCUGAGGCACGAAAGCGUGGGGAGCGAACAGG